Molecule: long non-coding RNA, 3143 nt
Organism: Cydia pomonella (codling moth)
Lineage: Eukaryota; Metazoa; Arthropoda; Insecta; Lepidoptera; Tortricidae
Exons: 3
Source: RefSeq, a predicted model, not a curated record
UCAGUGUUGCCAGAUGGGUUUUGCGUUCCGUUACGUGCACCUCUUAAAAAUACAACGCAAAUUCAAGUUGAGUACGCAGUAUAAAAUUUACGGUGCGUUCCUAAAUAAUAUUAAUCGGAAAACCACCGAAUUUUAUCGCUACUAUAAAAAUGUUGAAAAUAGAACUUCACAUAUUUCGAUAAAAUAUUUCUUGUUUAAGGAGACUCAAUUCAAUGCAAAUUUGCCAACGGUGGCGUUUCGAAAUGUAAUACCGUCGCGGCGUCUGUCAUACUUCGGUCUACUUAAACACGCUGCACGCUGCUGCGACGCGUCAGGGCCUACCGCGAACCACGUUCGACGUGUUGCCUCUCUGUCGCACUUAUAAAUUCGUACGUAAGUAUGACAGGGAGGCAACACGUCGAACGUGGUUCACGGUAGGCCCUCUGUUCUGUGAUUGUUAGGCAAACACAAACAUUUUUUUUUACAACGGACGCCCACGAGUAUUCCUCUGCGUUGAAGUCAUUGUUGAAGUUUGAAAACUCAUAAAGUUUUGUUUUGUGAGUGAAACCGUGAAUAAUACUAAAUAAAAAUGUGUGACAGUGAUCACAGUGAUGAAAAUAUGUUGCCCACUACUCCUCAGGAAAUAUUAAAGCCUUUUCCGUUUAUGUUGUUCCGUUGUUUGCUAUUUUGACAACUUGAAAAGUUUUAUCGGCAGUUUGCGUGUUAUUACUGUGAAGUGUUUGGCCAAACCGCCGCUACCACUUUUGAAAGGAUGCCACCCAAAAAUCCAAAAAUUCGCUCGAACGCAGCACAAAUUAGAUUGCUCGUUGAAUACAUGUCACAGCACACCCGGUUCGCCAACCGGGAAUUUGACGGGCCUCUAAGGACCCCAGAGGUACGAGGCGCAAUGGGAGGCCCUUGCACAGGCCUUAAGGGAGCACGGGCCCAAUAAGUCAGUGCAGGCAUGGAAAGUGUAUCGGCAUAUAAUAACAAGUCAGAAAAUUUGAAACGAGUGGCGAUAAAUUAAAACACGACUGAAGGGAGUGUUUUAAAUUGACACGAGUUGCGAAUUACCUAUUCGCACAUGUAUCGUACAACGUUUUACAGUACAUAAGGUACCCUUUAAAUGUUUGACACAGUAACGUAAUAUGGUAAUUUUCGCACUAGUGCGGUAAAGUAGUACCAUAUGUACAGUCAGCGUCAAAUACUUCGUAGUACACCAUACUAAAUAUAUGGUGUACCGAACUAUUUGGCUACUUUGGUUGCUACAAAGUAUUUGACGCUGACUGUACUGUAAAAGCUGUUUUAAUACUAUUAAUAAGUAUAGUUAGUGUAUUAAUUUUGCCAUAAUCGCAUGCAGUUAUGACUAUGGGUAUAAAUAUUGUUGAAUUUAUAUAGCCGAGUCCACACAGAGCGACCGAGGAGGCGCGUGCGUUUUCCUUGCCCGAGCGCACGUCUACACUGGCCAGUUUGUGCGUGAGAAUAUUGCCUCACGCGUAUGCUCGCUCUGUGUGGACCCGGCUAAUCAUGUAUAAAUGACAACAGAUUUUAUUCUCUAGGUGGGCACCUGCUCCCCGCUGGCGACACCCUUGCAGAAGCUAGCAUUUUCAGAUAUAUUUACUUUUUAAGUUUUUGGUUUGGUUUAACCGGAAUUAUUUUUACCCGACUAUGAGAAUGGGAAGGGUUAUGAUUUUAGCAGUCUACGUAUGGAUGCCGUAUAUAUGCCGGUAUGUUUUUGUUGUGUAUAAAUUACUAAUCAAUUUUGGUGAAUGAGGUGUUUAUAGGUUCAUUUUUAUGGGGUGACAUAGACUACAUAAUAAUAUUUAACUGACUUUGGACAAGGAAGAGGUGCUAUAGUUAAGAAAAAAAUCAUAGUCGGGUAAAAGUUUUUACAAUCUUUUGCUUGUUUUCAUUCUUAUAACAAAUAUUUUAAACUUGCAUGUGCUCAUUGCCUCAGAUUGACGACUACGUUGAGUUUUCGGGUGCUGGGAACAGUGUGGCUGGCAGCACGUUUUCUGCCACUGCUGAAAAUCUCGUUGUUGUUCCAACAACCGCCACCGUUACUGCGGCCUUGCUCAGCGAACAACCCCACUUCUCCACCUCUCAUUUGUCCUCGUCUCCCUCUCCUUCUGCCAGCCCUAUACGCUCCACGCAUUCAGUACUGCCCACAAGUCCUGGACUACCCGAACGUCCCUCUCUUGCCGCCCUUUCCGCCCGCUAUGCCCGUCCCGCCCUUCUCGCUCGUUCCGCAAUAACCGCCCAACCCGCACGUCUUGUCCUGCCUGCACGUCAAGUACACAGCUCUGUGUACGUGGAUCCGCGCCCUGCACGCGUAUCCACGUACACAGAGCUGUGUACUUGCCCCGCAACCGCACGACGGAACCGGCACCUUCGACAGCACAAUUUAAUCAUCUGCAGCAUGAGCAUGAUAAUAUUUUAAGAGUAAUUAAUUAAUUUAUGAACUAAUAAUUCUGUUUUAAGAUCAGGUUGAGUACGAGAAACAUUGUUUAUUUAACUUGGGACAAGAAAAACAGUAACUUGGCAGUAAGAAUGCAUACAUAAAGCCUGUAAGCUCCAUACUUGACGUACCAUUCCCUACAAGUGUUUCUCUUGCCUCCAUAUUUCGCUUACCCCAUCUGACCUUAUUUGUAUUGAUAAAACAUACAAAUAAUAAAUAUAUAUAUACGCGAGCAAUCGCAAAAUCUACAUUUCGGGAUUUCUCGUAUCGUACAGUGCCGUUUAAAUAAAAUAACACCACCAACUACCCAUAAGAGGGUUAUUAUGAAACUUAUAAUUAACAUGCAUUUUAUUGAAAGGCUGGAAUUUUAUUUAUCUUGAAAUCUUGACCAUGGUCAUAUGUUUGACUGGACGGUACACGGCAAUGUUAUUAUUACUAAUAUAUUUCAUAACACUAGACUUAUUCAAUCCUAAGUAACCUAUUAGCUUCUCAUUCGUGUGCGGUAUAUAUCAGCGUUUGGUAGUAUCAUAAUAGUCAAAUCUGGUGUUGGUUGUUGUUAAUAGUUAAAUGUUCAUAAAAUUUGACAACUUAUUAUAGUUAUAUUUUGUGUGAGUCAGUUAUCAUAACAGAAAUAAGAUAUAAAGCUGUUAAUACCGUAAAUUGUGUAUGGAUAUGUUUGACUCAAAUUCUGUAUUCCCACAAUAAG